This 442-nucleotide ribosomal RNA is filed under the name uncultured bacterium. RNAcentral describes it as "partial 16S ribosomal RNA". It matches the Rfam family "Bacterial small subunit ribosomal RNA", at positions 338 to 795 of the family's 1533-position model. The record is from RNAcentral.
CCUACGGGGGACAGCAGUAGGGAAUCUUUCACAAUGGGCGAAAGCCUGAUGGAGCAACGCCGCGUGCAGGAUGAAGGCCUUCGGGUUGUAAACUGCUUUUAUAAGCGAGAAAUAUGAUGGUAACUUAUGAAUAAGGAUCGGCUAACUACGUGCCAGCAGCCGCGGUCAUACGUAGGAUCCGAGCAUUAUCCGGAGUGACUGGGUGUAAAGAGUUGCGUAGGUGGCAUAAUAAGUAGCUAGUGAAAUCUGGUGGCUCAACAAUUCAGACGAUUAGCUAAACUGUUAAGCUCGAGACCGUUAGGGGUAACUGGAAUUUCUAGUGUAGGAGUGAAAUCCGUAGAUAUUAGAAGGAACACCAAUAGCGUAGGCAGGUUGCUGGGACGGUUCUGACACUAAGGCACGAAAGCGUAGGGAGCAAACGGGAUUAGAUACCCUAGUAGUC